Molecule: long non-coding RNA, 1462 nt
Organism: Sitophilus oryzae (rice weevil)
Lineage: Eukaryota; Metazoa; Arthropoda; Insecta; Coleoptera; Curculionidae
Exons: 4
Source: RefSeq, a predicted model, not a curated record
UAAAAUGUUGUUGACAUUUUCAUAUUUAUGGAGAGAUCUGCUCUAAAUUGUCUAAAUCUUGUUUUUGCGCAGUAUUAUUUAUGCAGCAAAAAAUGGUCAUGACAGGACGCCAUUGUUCGUUGUUGGAAGUUCUUUUACAAUUUUUCUGAUUUUUUGGUAGAAAAAGUGGUUCUUCAGUGCACUAUUUGAGCUUAUUCGGUUCCUUAAGGCCUGUUUAAUCUCCUGUAAAUGAGUUUUAUUUCUUUACACAUCCAACAUGUAAAGACCAGCUACGAGAAGAGACCUUGGUCACCCCUCAUAUAAUCCUGACGUUUGUCCAUCAUUCUGUUUUACGAGAUUGGUUUUACAUUAUCCAGUUAAAAAAUUUUGCACAACAAAUCGAUGGAUGUAUACAGUUCCAGGGCAGUAAUUUCUAAUUUCUAGUUUUAUACAAGAUAUUUAAACGUUCUUUGAAAACGCUGUAUGUGUAUAAAAUAUACCGCAAGAUCGAAAAAAACGGCGUCAGAGAUAGCUUGGGAACUAAGAUCACCGUCAUUUUGUAUGUCAAUUUAUAUUGGGAAUUUCAGCAAUUGGUAUUUCAGAGCUAACUGGACGCCGUUUUUUUUUUUUUGAUCAUACCAUAUUUAUUUAAACGUUCUUUGUAAACGCUGUUUGUGUAUAAAAUAUACCGUAAGAUCGAAAAAAACGGUGUCAGAGAUAGCUUGGGAAUUAAGAUCACCGUUAUUUUAUAUGUAAAUUUAUAUCGGGAAUUUCAACAAUUGUUAUUUCAAAGCCAACGCGACGCCGUUUUUUUUUCGAUCAUACCAUAUAUUUAAACGUUCUUUGAAAACGCUGUUUGUGUAUAAAAUAUACCGUAAGAUCGAAAAAAAACGGCGUAAGAGAUAGCUUGGAAAUUAAGAUCACCGUCAUUUUGUAUGUAAAUUUAUAUUGGAAAUUUCAACAAUAAUUGGUAUUUCAGAGCCAACUCGACGCCGUUUUUUUUUCAGUCAUACCGUAAUAUUUUAAGUAUAUUUAGUCAUUUUAUUGUUAAUAUAUCUUCUGUUUUGUAUAAGCAAAAAUAAUAUAAAAUGUAUUUUUAGGAGGAAGAUAAAUGUAAUUUUUCCUCUUUUGAACUAAGUAUUUUGCGUUUUUACAUUUGUUUUAUAAUUUACAUGUAAAAAAAUACUCAUAUAGGAUUUUUUGGAUAAAUUUACGUGUAUUUUCCACCAUAACGUAAAAUCAUGUAGAGAAAGCCCAUCCCUGAUCAAAACAUUAUAUGAUCAGGCAUACUUUGUACCGUAUGAUCGAAUAAAAACGGCGUCCAGUUUGCUUGGAAAUGACGAUCGUUGACAUUCUUCAUAUAAUUUUACCUAUAAAAUAAUGACAGCCAUCUUCAUUUCAUAGCCAUCGCUGACGCCGUUUUUUUUUUCGAUUAUAUUGUAUAAUGACACGACCUACUUAUGAUUUAUACAAUAUGAUUGAA